This 67-nucleotide transfer RNA is filed under the name Notocrater youngi. Its description in RNAcentral is "tRNA-Cys". It matches the Rfam family "tRNA". Rfam says of the family: Transfer RNA (tRNA) molecules are approximately 80 nucleotides in length. Their secondary structure includes four short double-helical elements and three loops (D, anti-codon, and T loops). Further hydrogen bonds mediate the characteristic L-shaped molecular structure. tRNAs have two regions of fundamental functional importance: the anti-codon, which is responsible for specific mRNA codon recognition, and the 3' end, to which the tRNAs corresponding amino acid is attached (by aminoacyl-tRNA synthetases). tRNAs cope with the degeneracy of the genetic code in two manners: having more than one tRNA (with a specific anti-codon) for a particular amino acid; and 'wobble' base-pairing, i.e. permitting non-standard base-pairing at the 3rd anti-codon position. The record is from RNAcentral. Lineage: Eukaryota; Metazoa; Mollusca; Gastropoda; Lepetellida; Pseudococculinidae.
GUAUCUAUAGUUAAAUUGUAAUAACAUUAAAUUGCAAGUUUAAAGGUGUAUAUUGUUACUAGGUACU